This 495-nucleotide ribosomal RNA is filed under the name uncultured bacterium. RNAcentral describes it as "bacterial SSU rRNA". It matches the Rfam family "Bacterial small subunit ribosomal RNA", at positions 24 to 507 of the family's 1533-position model. The record is from RNAcentral.
UCAGGACGAACGCUGGCGGCGUGCUUAACACAUGCAAGUGGAGCGACGAACCGGGGCUUGCCCCGGGGCAGAGCCGCGAACGGUGAGUAACACGUGGGUAACCUGCCUCAAUGAUUGGGAUAACCCGGGGAAACUCGGGCUAAUACCAAAUGUGUUCACUCCUUCUAAGGGGAGUGAGGAAAGGAAGCUUCGGCCUCCGCAUUGAGAUGGGCCCGCGGCCCAUUAGCUUGUUGGCGAGGUAACGGCUCACCAAGGCUUCGAUGGGUAGCUGGUCUGAGAGGACGAUCAGCCACACUGGGACUGAGACACGGCCCAGACUCCUACGGGAGGCAGCAGUGGGGAAUCUUGCACAAUGCGCGAAAGCGUGAUGCAGCAACGCCGCGUGGGGAAGACGGCCUUCGGGUUGUAAACCCCUUUCAGUUGGGACGAAGCUUCGUCGGUGAAUAGCCGGUUGGAGUGACGGUACCUUCAGAAGAAGCCCCGGCUAACUACGUG